RNAcentral lists this transfer RNA (70 nucleotides) under Dipodomys ordii (Ord's kangaroo rat). It matches the Rfam family "tRNA". From Rfam's summary of the family: Transfer RNA (tRNA) molecules are approximately 80 nucleotides in length. Lineage: Eukaryota; Metazoa; Chordata; Mammalia; Rodentia; Heteromyidae. The record is from Rfam by way of RNAcentral.
GGGAAUGUGGUUUAGUGGUAAAAUGCUUGCCUAGCAUGCAUGAAGCCCUAGGUUUGAUUCCUCAGUACCA